This 253-nucleotide ribosomal RNA is filed under the name uncultured bacterium. RNAcentral's name for it is "partial 16S ribosomal RNA". It matches the Rfam family "Bacterial small subunit ribosomal RNA", at positions 524 to 776 of the family's 1533-position model. The record is from RNAcentral.
UACGUAGGGCGCAAGCGUUGUCCGGAAUUAUUGGGCGUAAAGAGCUCGUAGGCGGCUUGUCACGUCGGGUGUGAAAGCUCGGGGCUUAACCCCGGGUCUGCAUUCGAUACGGGCUGGCUGGAGUGUGGUAGGGGAGAUCGGAAUUCCUGGUGUAGCGGUGAAAUGCGUUGAGAUCCACAGGAACUCCGGUGGCGAAGGCGGCCUGCUGGACCCCAUCUGACGCUGAGGCGCGAAAGCCAGGGGAGCGAACGGG